This 253-nucleotide ribosomal RNA is filed under the name uncultured bacterium. RNAcentral describes it as "partial 16S ribosomal RNA". It matches the Rfam family "Bacterial small subunit ribosomal RNA", at positions 524 to 776 of the family's 1533-position model. The record is from RNAcentral.
UACGUAGGGGGCUAGCGUUGUCCGGAAUCAUUGGGCGUAAAGCGCGUGUAGGCGGCCCGGUAAGUCCGCUGUGAAAGUCGGGGGCUCAACCCUCGGAUGCCGGUGGAUACUGUCGGGCUUGAGUACGGAAGAGGCGAGUGGAAUUCCUGGUGUAGCGGCGAAAUGCGCAGAUAUCAGGAGGAACACCGAUUGCGAAGGCAGCUCGCUGGGACGUUACUGACGCUGAGACGCGAAAGCGUGGGGAGCAAACAGG